UAUUGGUCAAUGGCCGGAAGGCUGAACCAGCCAAGCUGCGUGAGGGAAGACGGCCCUACGGGUUGUAAACCUCUUUAGCCGGGGAACAAGGCGCGGGACGCGUCCCGCCGCGAGCGUACCCGGAGAAUAAGCACCCGCUAACUCCGUGCCAGCAGCCGCGGUAAUACGGAGGAUGCGAGCGCUAUCCGGAUUUAUUGGGUUUAAAGGGUGCGUAGGCGGGCUUUUAAGUCAGCGGUCAAAUGUCGGGGCUCAACCCCGGCCUGCCGUUGAAACUGGCGGCCUCGAGUGGGCGAGAAGUAUGCGGAAUGCGUGGUGUAGCGGUGAAAUGCAUAGAUAUCACGCAGAACUCCGAUUGCGAAGGCAGCAUACCGGCGCCCUACUGACGCUGAGGCACGAAAGCGUGGGUAUCGAACAGGA
RNAcentral lists this ribosomal RNA (417 nucleotides) under uncultured bacterium. Its description in RNAcentral is "bacterial SSU rRNA". It matches the Rfam family "Bacterial small subunit ribosomal RNA", at positions 362 to 777 of the family's 1533-position model. The record is from RNAcentral.